UACGUAGGGGGCAAGCGUUGUCCGGAAUCAUUGGGCGUAAAGCGCGUGUAGGCGGCUUGUUAAGUCAAAGGUGAAAUCCCUCGGCUCAACUGAGGAACUGCCUUUGAAACUAGCGAGCUUGAGGCCGGGAGGGGGUAGCGGAAUUCCCAGUGUAGCGGUGAAAUGCGUAGAUACUGGGAGGAACACCAGUGGCGAAGGCGGCUACCUGGACCGGUACUGACGCUGAGGCGCGAAAGCGUGGGUAGCAAACAGG
RNAcentral lists this ribosomal RNA (253 nucleotides) under uncultured bacterium. RNAcentral's name for it is "partial 16S ribosomal RNA". It matches the Rfam family "Bacterial small subunit ribosomal RNA", at positions 524 to 776 of the family's 1533-position model. The record is from RNAcentral.